RNAcentral lists this ribosomal RNA (255 nucleotides) under uncultured bacterium. RNAcentral's name for it is "partial 16S ribosomal RNA". It matches the Rfam family "Bacterial small subunit ribosomal RNA", at positions 524 to 776 of the family's 1533-position model. The record is from RNAcentral.
UACAGAGGGGGGCAAGCGUUAUUCGGAAUUAUUGGGCGUAAAGGGCGCGUAGGCGGCCUGGCAAGUGGAAGGUGAAAUCCCUGGGCUUAACCUAGGAACUGCAUUUGUGACUGCAUGGCUAGAGUGUGGUAGAGGGAGAUGGAAUUCCGCAUGUAGCAGUGAAAUGCGUAGAUAUGCGGAGGAACACCAAUGGCGAAGGCAAUCUCCUGGACCUGCACUGACGCUCAUGCACGAAAGCGUGGGGGAGCAAACAGG